CUUAAGUUUAUAAAUCUAACCGAUAGGUGUCGUUGAUAAUUGUCGUCUGACUCUGACAGCUCUUGUUAUUCAUUUGUAAUCAUAUUCGGAAGAUGAUUAAAGCUAUACUUGUUUUCAAUAAUCAUGGCAAGCCUCGUUUAUCCAAAUUCUACCAGUAUUUUAAUGAAGACAUGCAGCAGCAGAUCGUUCGUGAAACUUUUCAGCUUGUCAGUAAGCGCGAUGAUAAUGUCUGCAAUUUUCUUGAAGGCGGAAGUUUGAUAGGAGGAUCUGAUUAUAAACUCAUAUACAGGCAUUAUGCCACAUUAUAUUUUGUAUUCUGUGUUGAUUCCUCAGAAUCGGAAUUGGGGAUAUUAGAUCUUAUUCAGGUAUUUGUUGAAACAUUGGAUCGCUGCUUUGAAAAUGUUUGUGAAUUGGAUUUAAUCUUCCAUGUAGAUAAGGUUCAUUACAUCUUGAAUGAAUUAGUAAUGGGUGGAAUGGUUCUGGAGACUAAUAUGUCUGAAAUUCUUAGUCGAAUAGAGGAUCAGAAUAAAUUGGAAAAAUCUGAAGCAGGGCUCAUUAGCCUGAAGAAUGUAAAUCUUCCUAAUUUACCAAACAUUCCUCAACAGAUUAAAGAUAUUAAACUACCAGAUCUACCCCAAGCUAUAAAAGACCUGAAAUUCUAAUGUAAUGGCUCUCAAUUUAUGGUUUGAAAUAUUCUGUGCGAAAUACAAUAAGAUGCACGAUGGCCAUGUAUCUAUGGUUUAAACCUUCCCGCUUUCACACAGCGCCUUCUGCUGUAUUUUCCCAUUUCGCCGCCAUCAUUCGUCGUCUGGCGAGGUGAUGCCUCUGUUCUUCUCUUAAACAACUAGCGUGCUUUACUGUUGUUGGUGAAUUUUAUAAAGUUUUCUUGCACUUUUACGAACAUGCUUCAUGUUUGAGUAAUCCUGCUUUCUCAAUAGAUUACUAUCAACAUUU
This 954-nucleotide unclassified non-coding RNA is filed under the name Daphnia magna. Its description in RNAcentral is "aP-3 complex subunit sigma-2, transcript variant X3". Lineage: Eukaryota; Metazoa; Arthropoda; Branchiopoda; Diplostraca; Daphniidae. The record is from RNAcentral.